Molecule: ribosomal RNA, 253 nt
Filed under: uncultured bacterium
Lineage: Bacteria
Description: partial 16S ribosomal RNA
Rfam family: Bacterial small subunit ribosomal RNA
Source: RNAcentral
GACGGAGGAUGCAAGCGUUAUCCGGAAUGAUUGGGCGUAAAGCGUCCGCAGGUGGCAGUUCAAGUCUGCUGUCAAAGACCGGGGCUUAACCCUGGAGAGGCAGUGGAAACUGAAGCGCUAGAGUGUCGUAGGGGUAGAGGGAAUUCCUGGUGUAGCGGUGAAAUGCGUAGAGAUCAGGAAGAACAUCGGUGGCGAAGGCGCUUUGCUGGACCAUAACUGACACUCAGGGACGAAAGCUAGGGGAGCGAAUGGG